RNAcentral lists this unclassified non-coding RNA (229 nucleotides) under fungal sp. RNAcentral's name for it is "partial internal transcribed spacer region". The record is from RNAcentral. Lineage: Eukaryota; Fungi.
AAGUCGUAACAAGGUUUCGUGGCAUGGCUUCCCCAAGCAGUUAGUGAAUGACUCACUGACUGUGUAAGGAUAACGCCUCACGGUUGCUAGAGGUCGAUCACCGACCGACAGACAUGUCACAGGGUCACCACGCCCCUUAAUCACUCCACUUGAAAAUGCCCCGCCUAGUGGUAACGCGCUAGGUAAAAAAAACCGAACAACUGUUAACAAUGGAUAUCUUGGUUCUCGC